GACGAACGCUGGCGGCGUGCUUAACACAUGCAAGUCGAACGGAAAGGCCCUGCUUUUGUGGGGUGCUCGAGUGGCGAACGGGUGAGUAACACGUGAGUAACCUGCCCUUGACUUUGGGAUAACUUCAGGAAACUGGGGCUAAUACCGGAUAGGAGCUCCUGCUGCAUGGUGGGGGUUGGAAAGUUUCGGCGGUUGGGGAUGGACUCGCGGCUUAUCAGCUUGUUGGUGGGGUAGUGGCUUACCAAGGCUUUGACGGGUAGCCGGCCUGAGAGGGUGACCGGGCCUGAGGGGGCCGAGCAUGCGCCCCAGACUCUUGCGGUGGGCAGUAGUGGGGAUACUGGCGCGAUGGGGUGAGGCAUGACGAAGGCGCGCGGCGGGCGGGAUGCCGGCCUUCGGGUUGUAACCCGCUUUCGGUGGGGGCGACGCGGGAGUCAUGGUAAUGGGCAAAGAAGCACCGGCGAACUUCGUCCGAGCAGCCGGUGUUAUAGGAAGAGCACCCACCUGCAC
This 507-nucleotide ribosomal RNA is filed under the name uncultured bacterium. RNAcentral's name for it is "partial 16S ribosomal RNA". It matches the Rfam family "Bacterial small subunit ribosomal RNA", at positions 39 to 535 of the family's 1533-position model. The record is from RNAcentral.